RNAcentral lists this ribosomal RNA (434 nucleotides) under uncultured bacterium. Its description in RNAcentral is "partial 16S ribosomal RNA". It matches the Rfam family "Bacterial small subunit ribosomal RNA", at positions 29 to 508 of the family's 1533-position model. The record is from RNAcentral.
AACGAACGCUGGCGGCAUGCCUAACACAUGCAAGUCGAACGAGACCUUCGGGUCUAGUGGCGCACGGGUGCGUAACGCGUGGGAACCUGCCCUUAGGUUCGGAAUAACUCCCCGAAAGGGGUGCUAAUACCGGAUAAUGUCUUCGGACCAAAGAUUUAUCGCCUUUGGAUGGGCCCGCGUUGGAUUAGCUAGUUGGUAGGGUAAAAGCCUACCAAGGCGACGAUCCAUAGCUGGUCUGAGAGGAUGAUCAGCCACACUGAGACUGAGACACGGCCCAGACCUCGACGGGGAGGAGGAGGGGGGGAAUGUGGAAAAAGGGGAAAAGGCUGGACCAAACAUGGCGGGGGGAGUAAAAAAGCCUUAGGGGUUGAAAACUUUUUUAACCGGGGCGAAAAAGGAAAGUGCGGGAAAAAAAGCCCCGGGCAACCUCGGUC